Molecule: ribosomal RNA, 662 nt
Filed under: Bacillus safensis
Lineage: Bacteria; Bacillati; Bacillota; Bacilli; Caryophanales; Bacillaceae
Description: bacterial SSU rRNA
Rfam family: Bacterial small subunit ribosomal RNA
Source: RNAcentral
AUUAAGAUGUGGCGGAACACCAGUGGGGAAGACUACUUUGUGGUCUGUAACUGACGCUGAGGAGCGAAAGCGUGGGGAGCGAACAGGAUUAGAUACCCUGGUAGUCCACGCCGUAAACGAUGAGUGCUAAGUGUUAGGGGGUUUCCGCCCCUUAUGCUGCAGCUAACGCAUUAAGCACUCCGCCUGGGGAGUACGGUCGCAAGACUGAAACUCAAAGGAAUUGACGGGGGCCCGCACAAGCGGUGGAGCAUGUGGUUUAAUUCGAAGCAACGCGAAGAACCUACCAGGUCUUGACAUCCUCUGACAACCCUAGAGAUAGGGCUUUCCCUUCGGGGACAGAGUGACAGGUGGUGCAUGGUUGUCGUCAGCUCGUGUCGUGAGAUGUUGGGUUAAGUCCCGCAACGAGCGAACCCUUGAUCUUAGUUGCCAGCAUUCAGUUGGGCACUCUAAGGUGACUGCCGGUGACAAACCGGAGGAAGGUGGGGAUGACGUCAAAUCAUCAUGCCCCUUAUGACCUGGGCUACACACGUGCUACAUGGACAGAACAAAGGGCUGCAAGACCGCAAGGUUUAGCCAAUCCCAUAAAUCUGUUCUCAGUUCGGAUCGCAGUCUGCAACUCGACUGCGUGAAGCUGGAAUCGCUAGUAAUCGCGGAUCAACAUG